Molecule: long non-coding RNA, 254 nt
Filed under: Gossypium raimondii (Peruvian cotton)
Lineage: Eukaryota; Viridiplantae; Streptophyta; Magnoliopsida; Malvales; Malvaceae
Description: long non-coding RNA (GRAI_LNC004220)
Source: RNAcentral
CCCAUUUGUAUUAAAUAUGUAACUGUUUUCUAUGUAUUUGAAUGAUAAAUAAAUAGAUAAAGUUAAUUUCACAUUUCACUAUUAUACCUUUUGUGUUUCUACCUUUCAUGUUUUGCAUAUAUAGCGAAAUUGUGACAAGUAAAUAUUAGCUCAUUGAUUGUCUAAGUUCAAACUGAUGAUAAAUGACACUAUAAGAAUGUUUACAUUGCAAGAAGAAUAACUUACUUCAAUAGAUAAUCUAAACGAGUUCAUAA